AUUGAACGCUGGCGGCAGGCCUAACACAUGCAAGUCGAACGGCGUGGCGGACGGGUGAGUAAUGUCUAGGAAUCUGCCUGGUAGCGGGGGAUAACGUCCGGAAACGGGCGCUAAUACCGCAUACUAUCAGAUGAGCCUAGGUCGGAUUAGCUAGUUGGAGGGGUAAAGGCCUACCAAGGCGACGAUCCGUAACUGGUCGGAGAGGAUGAUCAGUCACACUGGAAAUGAGAAACGGUCCAGACUCCUACGGGGGGCAGCAGUGGGGAAUAUUGGACAAUGGGCGAGAGCCUGAUCCAGCCAUGCAGCGAGUGUGAAGAAGGUCUUCGGAUUGUAAAGCACUGUAAGUUGGGAGGCGUUACCAACAGAAUAAGCACCGGCUAACUUCGUGCCAGCCGCCGCGGUAAUAC
RNAcentral lists this ribosomal RNA (407 nucleotides) under uncultured bacterium. RNAcentral describes it as "partial 16S ribosomal RNA". It matches the Rfam family "Bacterial small subunit ribosomal RNA", at positions 30 to 526 of the family's 1533-position model. The record is from RNAcentral.